GACGAACGCUGGCGGCGUGCUUAACACAUGCAAGUCGAACGGAAAGGCCCUGCUUUUGUGGGGUGCUCGAGUGGCGAACGGGUGAGUAACACGUGAGUAACCUGCCCUUGACUUUGGGAUAACUUCAGGAAACUGGGGCUAAUACCGGAUAGGAGCUCCUGCUGCAUGGUGGGGGUUGGAAAGUUUCGGCGGUUGGGGAUGGACUCGCGGCUUAUCAGCUUGUUGGUGGGGUAGUGGCUUACCAAGGCUUUGACGGGUAGCCGGCCUGAGAGGGUGACCGGCCACAUUGGGACUGAGAUACGGCCCAGACUCCUACGGGAGGCAGCAGUAGGGAAUAUUGCACAAUGGGCGGAAGCCUGAUGCAGCAACGCCGCAUGCGGGAUGACGGCCUUCGGGUUGUAAACCGCUUUCGCCUGUGACGAAGCGUGAGUGACGGUAAUGGGUAAAGAAGCACCGGCUAACUACGUG
RNAcentral lists this ribosomal RNA (468 nucleotides) under uncultured bacterium. Its description in RNAcentral is "partial 16S ribosomal RNA". It matches the Rfam family "Bacterial small subunit ribosomal RNA", at positions 28 to 507 of the family's 1533-position model. The record is from RNAcentral.